This 234-nucleotide ribosomal RNA is filed under the name uncultured bacterium. Its description in RNAcentral is "partial 16S ribosomal RNA". It matches the Rfam family "Bacterial small subunit ribosomal RNA", at positions 28 to 261 of the family's 1533-position model. The record is from RNAcentral.
GAUGAACGCUAGCGGCAGGCCUAAUACAUGCAAGUCGGACGGGAUUUGGGAGCUUGCUCCCAAUGAGAGUGGCGCACGGGUGCGUAACACGUAUGUAACCUACCUUAGUCAGGGGGAUAGCCUCUCGAAAGAGAGAUUAAGACCGCAUAAAAUCACAGUAUAGCAUUAUACAAUGAUCAAAUAUUUAUAGGACUAAGAUGGGCAUGCGGAACAUUAGCUAGUUGGUGAGGUAAC